GCCUGCCCGGUCUCUGCGGGCCGGGGUCUCUUUGUCCCAGCGAGUUGGGCUAUGAGUGUUACUCCGAUUUCGGCUCUCUCUGUCUCUCCCGGCGGGGUGGGCCCCUGACGGGUCUGAGGGGCCCGAGUAAGGCUGGAUGCCUUCGAGCUUUGCCCGCCCGGAGCUCCGCUGCUCCCGGCGGCCAGAACGCAGGGGUAGAGCAGCCCUCGGCGGCCCGGGUGGGGCGGGCGAUUGUGCUCGUCCCGGAGCUGCGCGAGGCACACACGCUGCUCGGAGCCGCUCGGAGGCUUCCCGGAGAGCAGGACCCGCGCGGUAACAAGUUUGUGCUUUGCUUCCCCAGGGCAAAGCCGCCGCUACUUUGUAGCGGGUUCGGGGCCCGACCCCGGCUGCGGCAGUAAGAGCGGGUCUCGGACCCACUCUGGGCCUGGGAAUUUGUCUCCGACGUCUGCGGUGCAGCGGCCUGAGUUCUAAGCGCAGAUGGCAGUGCUGGGGAUUGAACUCAAGAUCUCAUGCAUGACAGGUUGAGGCGGAAGACUGAAAUCUGCGAGGCAAUGCCGUGAAGGCUGCUGUGAGUGUGGCCUUUUGAAGCAAAGAUCAGAGGUGAGUCUCUUUCGCCCUCACACCUUUGAUGUGCUCCUGCCUGGACCGCACAUGUACACAGCAAACAAAACUGAGACAUUAGGUUAUUGUUUUUAUCAAGUGAGACAUUUUACAAGAGAAGGAUCAUUCGUAUCGGAUUUGCUGACAUUUCCGGUGUUCCAAAGAGAAAGACGGAUUGAAGUGAAGCAACUCUCUUCGGUGUCAAUUUUCAUGAGAAAAAACGAUGCCAUUUAUAAAGUGGCUUGACUAUUUGAAAGAAAUGGAUCACAGUGUCAAAGAAAGGCCUUGAUUUACUGUUGUCCUGAUGAUCUGCUUGCACGGAAGA
Molecule: long non-coding RNA, 925 nt
Organism: Camelus dromedarius (Arabian camel)
Lineage: Eukaryota; Metazoa; Chordata; Mammalia; Artiodactyla; Camelidae
Exons: 3
Source: RefSeq, a predicted model, not a curated record